GAGUAUUAAAAAAAGGGAUAAGUGAGGAUCGAGAUUUGUUCUCUCCCGAAACCCUUCUCUCCUCCUCUCGUGACGGCGAUUCCUUCUCGGGUGAAAACGAAGCUAGGGCUUCGUCUCUGACGGCCGGUGAGCGCUUCUCUCUGUGGGUUCUUCACAGAUUCGAGGUCUCCUCGUCGAAGAGAGCUCGUGGGCACGAGGAAGGGUUGAAAGCUCAAGUUCUCCGAACCCUAGAGGCUUUCUCCUCCCGUUGUAAGUCGAGGGAUUCCGAUAAAGGAAGACGAGGAGGAGGUGCGGAUGGUGUAUGAUGCCAGGACUAUGGAAGCCCUGGGACUUAAAUUCACAAAACUGCAGCCAUUCAGAAAUCUACAGCUUACUGCAGAUACCAGCUGACAUUUUCAGAAAUCUAGAAUCCAAAUCUUAAGUUUUAGAAUUGUAAUUUCAAGGUAGCUUCAGUUACAACUAUACUGAAUUUAGCUUUGACAAGGAUAGUAUUUAAUACUAUGUUAAUAGGAUUUAAACAUGAAGUUGUUGCUAUCAUAAUGGACAUAUGGACUUAGACAGUUAUCACUGAGUUCUGAAAAUUGAAACUUCAAUAUUAA
Zingiber officinale is the source of this 599-nucleotide long non-coding RNA. RefSeq lists it as uncharacterized. The record is from RefSeq and is a predicted model, not a curated record. NCBI's taxonomy places the organism in Eukaryota, Viridiplantae, Streptophyta, Magnoliopsida, Zingiberales, Zingiberaceae. The transcript is spliced from 3 exons.